CAGUAGCCGCGGGAACACGGAGGGAGCUAGCGUUGUUCGGAAUUACUGGGCGUAAAGCGCGCGUAGGCGGUUACUCAAGUCAGAGGUGAAAGCCCGGGGCUCAACCCCGGAACUGCCUUUGAAACUAGGUGACUAGAAUCUUGGAGAGGUCAGUGGAAUUCCGAGUGUAGAGGUGAAAUUCGUAGAUAUUCGGAAGAACACCAGUGGCGAAGGCGACUGACUGGACAAGUAUUGACGCUGAGGUGCGAAAGCGUGGGGAGCAAACAGGAUUAGAUACCCGCGUAGUCCCUGUCUCUUAUAC
Molecule: ribosomal RNA, 301 nt
Filed under: uncultured bacterium
Lineage: Bacteria
Description: partial 16S ribosomal RNA
Rfam family: Bacterial small subunit ribosomal RNA
Source: RNAcentral